AAAUGAAUUGACGGGGACCCGCACAAGCGGUGGAGCAUGUGGUUUAAUUCGACGCAACGCGAGGAACCUUACCAGAUCUUGACAUCUCCGGAAUUAGGUAGAGAUACUUAAGUGCCUUCGGGAACCGGAAGACAGGUGGUGCAUGGCUGUCGACAGCUCGUGUCGUGAGAUGUUGGGUUAAGUCCCGCAACGAGCGCAACCCCUAUCGUUAGUUACUAACAUUAAGUUGAGGACUUUAGCGAGACUGCCUGCGAAGAGCAGGAGGAAGGUGGGGAUGACGUCAAGUCAUCAUGCCCCUUAUGAUCUGGGCUACACACGUGCUACAAUGGACAGUACAAAGAGAAGCAAAAUGGUGACAUGGAGCAAAUCAAGAAAUCUGUUCUCAGUUCGGAUUGAAGUCUGCAACUCGACUUCAUGAAGUUGGAAUCGCUAGUAAUCGCGGAUCAGCAAUGCCGCGGUGAAUACGUUCUCGGGUCUUGUACACACCGCCCGU
Molecule: ribosomal RNA, 493 nt
Filed under: uncultured bacterium
Lineage: Bacteria
Description: bacterial SSU rRNA
Rfam family: Bacterial small subunit ribosomal RNA
Source: RNAcentral